Molecule: long non-coding RNA, 1331 nt
Organism: Athalia rosae (coleseed sawfly)
Lineage: Eukaryota; Metazoa; Arthropoda; Insecta; Hymenoptera; Athaliidae
Exons: 6
Source: RefSeq, a predicted model, not a curated record
UGUCUGUACAGGUAUUAGAACGUCAGUGUGGGAAGACUCUACCAUGUUGGGUGUCAACACGAUGUCUAUAAACGUAAAUUACGUCACCAACUGGUUCUUGACACAAUAUAUGUAUACAUAGGUAUACGAUCCUGUUGUAUGUUGCGAUGGAGAGGGAAGUCCAAGUAUGUUUUGACCAUAGUGAUUUCAAGCGGAUUAAACUUUCAUUGACUACUACUGUUAUUCUUACCUACGCAUAGCAAACUCAUUGAUAGUCAGGACCUUUCAAUUCUGAUGUGCCAGGCCAAUUGCAUACAACUACAUUUAAGAAGUAUUGAACUAUCAUCUCAGUUCUGUUUAUUACAAUAUGAUGAUUACAUUAUCAAACUCACCGCAUUUCGGUGUUGAGGGCUGGCAGAGGAGGAUGGCAUUUGAUUGAAAAGCGUCGCAGGUGUUGGAUACGCUGAACCAGGUCGACUCAUUUGGUUGUUACAGAGACUGUGAUCCCCGCCGUUGAGAUAUCUUUGAUCUGGUGCUGUUUCGUGCAACACAAAUCCUUUUGGUUGAGAAGAAGGUGCAGCCCACGUUCUUGUAUCUUGAUAUAGCCGUGGGUCUUGCUGAAAUGAUCAGCUGCCCAGCCUCAAUUAAUAAGAUAUUCUAUGAAUAUGAAAUAUACCUGGAGGUUGAGGGCUAUAUCGAUGAUCGACAGGCUGCUGAUAGCCAGCUGCAGCCAUUUCAUUAGCCAGACUUUCUGGCGGUAAUGGUUGUCCCCAUGUCCGUCUCUGUGACUGUGCAUGAUCAUGUAAAUAAAACUGUGACUGCUGGGGAUCUUGAAUUCUGUUUUUGAAAGCUGAGAGGCGAAAUUGUUUUGAACGGGACUCCUGGGUUACGUGUUAGCUGCAGAAAAUUCUGGUAAUGAUCGAGCUUCGAGUUGUUAUACUUGGUUGAAUUUGGCAGGGACUAAAAAGGAUAAUAAAAAUAAUAUACCGUCAAUUGCUUGACUCAACAUUUUGGAUAAUUUAGAAGUUACAUCCUAAAAAUCAAUAAACUAAACAUGCAGUUAUAAAGCAGUGUUCUUUUGUCUGUUCAUGUUAAAACAAAGCUGGCUCUGUUUAUUUGUAUUUUAAUGGCUAGUAAACUCCUAUGUAUGUACACAACAUUAUCUAUUUUUUGAUGGAUAAUUUGCUCAAAACAACUGCGUGCAUAAUUAGUUUUAUAAAAUUCAUAAUUCAUGAUCAAUGGACUGAUACAAUUAGGGACUGCUUGUGGUGUGAUGUGAAUGUUUUCCCGUUUCUGUGUAUGACGCGUACCUGUAGAUGUACAAUAUUUAAUAAAGAACAACCUGUUCAAUA